AGGGAGUCGCAGCGCGAGUCGUCCUCCUUGGACUGCUGCUGGCCUGUGUUCCCACGGCACUGACCAGUAAGGUUGGAGUGGUUGGUGGAGAGAACAGCGAGGUCAUCUGCAAAGUCCAAGUCUUCCAGCUGGGUGAACAGGGCCCACUGGAUGCCUCUGGGUUUAUGGGAUGUGGUUUGGGUUAUGAUUCAGUGGUAAGGAGGAAGAGGAUAGGAGAGAUGAUGCACCUUUUGUCUCAAUGCAGAGAUGGUAUUACAUAUGAAGACCCCGCAUUCAAAGUGUUCAUAUAAUUGUCCUAUGAUUGAACUCUUAGAAAGAAAUAUGCUAUCUAGAACCUAAGAGGGUUCUUGAUAAGGGAAUUAUAUGCUUAAAGUUAAUGAUUAAAAUAUUCCACCCUGAAACCAUAUAAUUGUAUGAAAUUUAUAAGAAUCAUAAAUCUUUAAUCUGAUGAUGUGUAUAGUUUUAGUCAGAAUUAGAACAAGGACCUUUCGCUCCUUUUUAGUAUGUAAGCAGGAUGCAAGUGUGAAACAGGUAAGAGGAGCUAUCGACAGACAAGUUGUACUACUGUGUUCCUUACAGGACAUUCUGUCUCCACCCGUGGAGGGGAGAAACUGUUAGGCUUGCAGAAGAUUAUGAAACAUUAGAUUAAAGAAACAACAGAUUAUGAAACAACAGAUUAAAGAAACAAUGUAUCUGUGUAGUGGAAAAACACAGACUGUCUGAGCAAGGCGUAGCUUAAGAUUUGAACUUGUUUGUGUGUGUUAUAAAGACUGUGUUUGCAUUUUUGACUUUAGAAAGUUCUCGUGAAUAAACAGUACUAACCUUUUGCAUAAACUGAGUCUUUGCCUAAUUAUUAUUAAACCCAUGGUCUUACAAACCUCAGGGAUUAGUCAAAGUUUAAUGAUUGUUAGUUAUUAUCAUUGAGAUUGAAAAUUCUCUUGACAGUUCUUCAGCUGUUUCCAUAGGAUAACCCAUUUAAGAACCCUUUUUGGUUCCAGGUAGAACCCUGUUGGUUCCCGUUGGAAAUCUUUUUGGUUCCAUGUAGAACAUUUUCUAUAGAGGGUUCUCCUAUAGGGAAAGCCGAAUAACUCUUUUGAAACCUUUUUUUCUAAGAGCGUAAUGAUCUUCGAUGGAAGCCCAUAGGAGCU
Molecule: long non-coding RNA, 1148 nt
Organism: Oncorhynchus tshawytscha (Chinook salmon)
Lineage: Eukaryota; Metazoa; Chordata; Actinopteri; Salmoniformes; Salmonidae
Source: Ensembl